Molecule: non-coding RNA, 73 nt
Organism: Caerostris darwini
Lineage: Eukaryota; Metazoa; Arthropoda; Arachnida; Araneae; Araneidae
Source: the annotation of a GenBank genome assembly
GUACCCAUGGUGUAGUGGUUAUCACAAUCGCUUCACACGCGAGUGGUCCCGUGCUCGAUCUCUGGUGGGUACA